This 404-nucleotide long non-coding RNA is filed under the name Bos indicus x Bos taurus (hybrid cattle). RNAcentral's name for it is "lncRNA (ENSBIXG00000016538.1)". The record is from RNAcentral. Lineage: Eukaryota; Metazoa; Chordata; Mammalia; Artiodactyla; Bovidae.
GCCUGGCUGGCUAGUCUAUGGGGUUGCAAAGAAUCGGACACUGAGUGACUGACACUUUCAUACUUCUUUCAUCUCCAUUUUACAGAUAAGAAAACUGAGGCACAAGGCAAUGAGGUGACUUGCCCAAGGUCAUCUCUUAGUAGGAAGAGGAGCCAGAUUCCAACCCACGCUCUCUGGAACCUGCAUUCACGUUCCUAACGCUCUUUGCUUCUGUCUCUUGUUCAUCUUGGGAAGCCAGACAACUCCCAGAGCUCCACAACAGAAGCUUCUGGAAGGUGGAGAAUCAAAUUGAGUCUCUCUGUGUUUGAGAGAGGGGAAGAACAUGAAUUAGAACCAAAGCAAAGGUGGCCACUUGUACCUUCAAGAGGGGUGUGUGUGUGACGCUAUUUACACAAAAGGGAUUA